RNAcentral lists this non-coding RNA (21 nucleotides) under Arabidopsis thaliana (thale cress). The record is from RNAcentral. Lineage: Eukaryota; Viridiplantae; Streptophyta; Magnoliopsida; Brassicales; Brassicaceae.
CCAGCAAGUAUUGUCUACGGA